GAUGAACGCUGGCGGCGUGCCUAAUACAUGCAAGUCGAGCGAACGGACGAGAAGCUUGCUUCUCUGAUGUUAGCGGCGGACGGGUGAGUAACACGUGGAUAACCUACCUAUAAGACUGGGAUAACUUCGGGAAACCGUAGCUAAUACCGGAUAAUAUUUUGAACCGCAUGGUUCAAAAGUGAAAGACGGUCUUGCUGUCACUUAUAGAUGGAUCCGCGCUGCAUUAGCUAGUUGGUAAGGUAACGGCUUACCAAGGCAACGAUGCAUAGCCGACCUGAGAGGUUGAUCGGCCACACGGGAACUGAGACACGUCCCAGACCCCUACGGGAGGCAGCAGUAGGGAAUCUUCCGCAAAGGGCGAAAGCCUGACGGAGCAACGCCGCGUGAGUGAUGAAGGUCUUCGGAUCGUAAAACUCUGUUAUUAGGGAAGAACAUAUGUGUAAGUAACUGUGCACAUCUUGACGGUACCUAAUCAGAAAGCCACGGCUAACUACGUG
RNAcentral lists this ribosomal RNA (497 nucleotides) under uncultured bacterium. RNAcentral's name for it is "partial 16S ribosomal RNA". It matches the Rfam family "Bacterial small subunit ribosomal RNA", at positions 28 to 507 of the family's 1533-position model. The record is from RNAcentral.